RNAcentral lists this ribosomal RNA (426 nucleotides) under uncultured bacterium. Its description in RNAcentral is "bacterial SSU rRNA". It matches the Rfam family "Bacterial small subunit ribosomal RNA", at positions 359 to 776 of the family's 1533-position model. The record is from RNAcentral.
GAAUUUUCCGCAAUGGGCGAAAGCCUGACGGAGUGACGCCGCGUGUGGGACGAAGGCCUUCGGGUCGUAAACCACUGUCAGUGGGAAAGAUGGAUGCCGGCGUGAUAACCGCUGGCAUCUGACGGUACCUGCAGAGGACGCCCCGGCCAACUCUGUGCCAGCAGCCGCGGUAAGACAGAGGGGGCAAGCGUUGCUCGGAAUUACUCGGCGUAAAGGGCGCGUAGGCGGGAUGGCAAGUCGGUCGUGAAAUCCCUCGGCUCAACUGAGGAACGUCGAUCGAUACUGCCGUUCUUGAGGAUUGCAGAGGAGACUGGAAUUCCCGGUGUAGCGGUGAAAUGUGUAGAGAUCGGGAGGAACACCGGUGGCGAAGGCGGGUCUCUGGGCAAUUCCUGACGCUGAGGCGCGAAAGCGUGGGGAGCAAACGGG